Molecule: ribosomal RNA, 440 nt
Filed under: uncultured bacterium
Lineage: Bacteria
Description: partial 16S ribosomal RNA
Rfam family: Bacterial small subunit ribosomal RNA
Source: RNAcentral
CCUACGGGAGGCAGCAGUGGGGGAUAUUGCACAAUGGGGGAAACCCUGAUGCAGCGACGCCGCGUGGGUGAAGAAGCGCCUCGGCGCGUAAAGCCCUGUCAGCAGGGAAGAAAAUGACGGUACCUGAAGAAGAAGCCCCGGCUAACUACGUGCCAGCAGCCGCGGUAAGAAGUAGGGUGCAAGCGUUAUCCGGAUUUACUGGGUGGAAAGGGGGCGCAGACGGCGAUGAAAGCCAGGAGUGAAAGCCCGGGGCCCAACCCCGGGACUGCUCUUGGAACUGCGUGGCUAGAGUGCAGGAGGGGCAGGCGGAAUUCCUGGUGUAGCGGUGAAAUGCUUAGAUAUCACGAAGAACUCCGAUUGCGAAGGCAGCUCACUGGACUGCAACUGACACUGAGGCUCGAAAGUGUGGGUAUCAAACAGGAUUAGAUACCCUAGUAGUC